GAUGAACGCUGGCGGCGUGCCUAAUACAUGCAAGUCGAGCGAACAGACGAGGAGCUUGCUCCUCUGACGUUAGCGGCGGACGGGUGAGUAACAUGUGGAUAACCUACCUAUAAGACUGGGAUAACUUCGGGAAACCGGAGCUAAUACCGGAUAAUAUAUUGAACCGCAUGGUUCAAUAGUGAAAGACGGUUUUGCUGUCACUUAUAGAUGGAUCCGCGCCGCAUUAGCUAGUUGGUAAGGUAACGGCUUACCAAGGCGACGAUGCGUAGCCGACCUGAGAGGGUGAUCGGCCACACUGGAACUGAGACACGGUCCAGACUCCUACGGGAGGCAGCAGUAGGGAAUCUUCCGCAAUGGGCGAAAGCCCGACGGAGCAACGCCGCGUGAGUGAUGAAGGUCUUCGGAUCGUAAAACUCUGUUAUUAGGGAAGAACAAAUGUGUAAGUAACUAUGCACGUCUUGACGGUACCUAAUCAGAAAGCCACGGCUAACUACGUG
Molecule: ribosomal RNA, 497 nt
Filed under: uncultured bacterium
Lineage: Bacteria
Description: partial 16S ribosomal RNA
Rfam family: Bacterial small subunit ribosomal RNA
Source: RNAcentral